RNAcentral lists this ribosomal RNA (468 nucleotides) under uncultured bacterium. RNAcentral describes it as "partial 16S ribosomal RNA". It matches the Rfam family "Bacterial small subunit ribosomal RNA", at positions 28 to 507 of the family's 1533-position model. The record is from RNAcentral.
GACGAACGCUGGCGGCGUGCUUAACACAUGCAAGUCGAACGGAAAGGCCCUGCUUUCGUGGGGUGCUCGAGUGGCGAACGGGUGAGUAACACGUGAGUAACCUGCCCUUGACUUUGGGAUAACUUCAGGAAAGUGGGGCUAAUACCGGAUAGGAGCUCCUGCUGCAUGGUGGGGGUUGGAAAGUUUCGGCGGUUGGGGAUGGACUCGCGGCUUAUCAGCUUGUUGGUGGGGUAGUGGCUUACCAAGGCUUUGACGGGUAGCCGGCCUGGGAGGGUGACCGGCCACAUUGGGACUGAGAUACGGCCCAGACUCCUACGGGAGGCAGCAGUGGGGAAUAUUGCACAAUGGGCGGAAGCCUGAUGCAGCAACGCCGCGUGCGGGAUGACGGCCUUCGGGUUGUAAACCGCUUUCGCCUGUGACGAAGCGUGAGUGACGGUAAUGGGUAAAGAAGCACCGGCUAACUACGUG